Molecule: non-coding RNA, 30 nt
Filed under: Rattus norvegicus (Norway rat)
Lineage: Eukaryota; Metazoa; Chordata; Mammalia; Rodentia; Muridae
Source: RNAcentral
UNGUGCCAUGGCAAGCGAUGCUCCACCUCU